GAGAAAAUGGAAGUCGGGUAGCGGCGACUGCGGCGCUGCGGGCUGGCGGAGCGGAGCGGCGCGGCGCGGCAGAGUUCUCAGGCGCUGUGGUCUCACCUUCCACUGGGGCAACAAUGGGCCAUUUCCAGCAGGGACGGCGCAGUGUUGGCCUGCAUGCCUGACUGCCACACACCUCCAGAAUCAGGUGUCUGAAAAGUGGCAGUGACGAAAGAAGAGACUCUCCCGGCCGAGGCCCCAGUGCAUGGAGAGAAGGAAGAAAUCAAUUUCCUAAUUGGUACCAUAUACAUCAGAUGGAUGGUUUCUAGUGUGCUUCCAAACCCCACCUCGGCUGAGUGUUGGGCAGCACUUCUACAUGAUCCUAUGACUCUUGAUAUGGACGCAGUCCUGUCAGACUUUGUUCGGUCCACGGGGGCAGAACCUGGUCUGGCCAGAGACCUGCUGGAAGGCAAAAACUGGGACCUGACAGCCGCUCUGAGCGACUAUGAGCAGCUCCGCCAGGUGCACACAGCCAAUCUGCCACAUGUGUUCAACGAAGGGCGGGGUCCCAAGCAGCCAGAGCGAGAGCCACAGCCCGGGCACAAGGUGGAGCGACCCUGCCUGCAGAGGCAGGACGACAUUGCCCAAGAAAAGCGACUUUCCCGGGGGAUUUCCCACGCCAGCUCAGCCAUCGUCUCCCUGGCCCGGUCCCACGUGGCAAGCGAAUGCAACAACGAGCAGUUCCCCCUGGAGAUGCCAAUCUACACAUUCCAGUUGCCAGACCUGAGCGUGUACAGCGAGGAUUUCAGGAGCUUCAUCGAGCGGGACCUGAUCGAGCAGGCAACAAUGGUGGCUUUGGAGCAGGCAGGUGAGUUGCCCCUGCCAGCAGGCCCACCCCCUUUAGGCUUGGUGAAUGGUGAGCUGGCCUAACCUACUCUAUGAGCAAGAGAAGGGCACAUGUUCUCAGACUCUGGGCAGUUUUCAGUUAGGAUUCUAGAUGCUGCACCGCACCUCCUGCUCUACGGGCCGACAGUGUUCUAGCCAGCAUGGGCUGGAUGGAGGGGCCGAUAACUAGGUGGUGCUGAAAUCUCUCGAGUUUUUCCCCUUGCCCCUAAAUCCCAGUCCUCCUUUAAGGAGAACUCUAUGCUUCUUUGCCUUGCUUCUCUCUUUCCCCAGACAACUCCUCCGUGGGUGUUGAACGAAAGAUAGGAAAGACCAUGGGCUUUAGAGAAAACGGGAGACCCGCCACUUCCUGUGGACUUGGGCAAGUCAGGUGAUCUCUCUCAGCCUCAGUUUCUCCAUCUGCAAAGAUGAGGAGACUGCUGACCCGGCAACGCUUUGGGGUACUAAGUGACAUGUGCUUUCCAUAGCUGUCCAUUCCCUGCCUGCACAGCCUCUUCCAGCUUCCAGGUUAAGGAAGCACAAAACCUGACCUCAGUCUCCUUCCUUCUCCUUAGUGUUUCCUCACCACCCUAACAUCCCAAUGAAGAAAGCGUUCAAGAAGCAAGACAAACUCUCUUCUUUGGAAUGUUUAAGGAGAAAAUAAUGAGUCCAAAACAAAUGUCUAAAACAGAUUUAGGUUCUUCCUGAGACAAAGCAAUGCCAGUUUCACUCAUAAUCAUUCACAUUAUAAACAUUGCAAAAUCACAUAUCUG
Molecule: small RNA, 1631 nt
Filed under: Pan troglodytes (chimpanzee)
Lineage: Eukaryota; Metazoa; Chordata; Mammalia; Primates; Hominidae
Description: retained intron
Source: RNAcentral